GACAGAGGGUGCAAACGUUGUUCGGAAUUACUGGGCGUAAAGCGCGUGUAGGCGGCGUAGCAAGUCGGGCGUGAAAGCCCACGGCUCAACCGUGGAAGAGCACUCGAAACUGCUGCGCUAGAGUUCUGGAGAGGAAGGCGGAAUGCUUGGUGUAGAGGUGAAAUUCGUAGAUAUCAAGCGGAACACCGGUGGCGAAGGCGGCCUUCUGGACAGUGACUGACGCUGAAACGCGAAAGCGUGGGGAGCAAACAGGAUUAGAUACCCUGGUAGUCCACGCCGUAAACGAUGGGUGCUAGGUGUCGCGGGCUUUGACCCUCGCGGUGCCGCAGCUAACGCGUUAAGCACCCCGCCUGGGGAGUACGGCCGCAAGGCUAAA
RNAcentral lists this ribosomal RNA (376 nucleotides) under uncultured bacterium. RNAcentral's name for it is "bacterial SSU rRNA". It matches the Rfam family "Bacterial small subunit ribosomal RNA", at positions 524 to 898 of the family's 1533-position model. The record is from RNAcentral.